Molecule: transfer RNA, 58 nt
Filed under: Diaphorina citri (Asian citrus psyllid)
Lineage: Eukaryota; Metazoa; Arthropoda; Insecta; Hemiptera; Psyllidae
Rfam family: tRNA
About the family: Transfer RNA (tRNA) molecules are approximately 80 nucleotides in length. Their secondary structure includes four short double-helical elements and three loops (D, anti-codon, and T loops).
Source: Rfam by way of RNAcentral
UAGCUUGGAGGGUAGUGCGUCUGCCUUGUAAGCACUAGGUUGCGGGUUCGAUUCCCGC